RNAcentral lists this ribosomal RNA (445 nucleotides) under uncultured bacterium. RNAcentral's name for it is "partial 16S ribosomal RNA". It matches the Rfam family "Bacterial small subunit ribosomal RNA", at positions 354 to 796 of the family's 1533-position model. The record is from RNAcentral.
GUGAGGAAUAUUGGUCAAUGGACGGAAGUCUGAACCAGCCAAGUAGCGUGCAGGAUGACGGCCCUAUGGGUUGUAAACUGCUUUUAUGCGGGGGUAAAGUGAGUGACGUGUCAUUCAUUGCAAGUACCGCAAGAAUAAGGACCGGCUAAUUCCGUGCCAGCAGCCGCGGUAAUACGGAAGGUCCUGGUGUUAUCCGGAUUUAUUGGGUUUAAAGGGAGCGUAGGCCGUCAGGCAAGCGUGUUGUGAAAUGUCGUGGCUCAACCAUGGACUUGCAGCGCGAACUGCCCGACUUGAGUGCGCAGAAAGCAGGCGGAAUUUGUGGUGUAGCGGUGAAAUGCUUAGAUAUCACGAAGAACCCCGAUUGCGAAGGCAGCCUGCUGUAGCGCUACUGACGCUGAAGCUCGAAAGUGCGGGUAUCGAACAGGAUUAGAAACCCGGGUAGUCC